UACAGAGGGUGCAAGCGUUGUUCGGAAUUAUUGGGCGUAAAGGGCGUGUAGGCGGUCUGCUAAGUCAUGUGUGAAAUCCCUCGGCUUAACCGAGGAACGACGCAUGAAACUGGCAAGCUAGAGUACCAAAGAGGGGGGUGGAAUUCCCGGUGUAGCGGUGAAAUGCGUAGAUAUCUGGAGGAAUACCGGUGGCGAAGGCGGCAUCCUGGACCGACAUUGACGCUGAACGGCGAAAGCUAGGGGAGCAAACGGG
RNAcentral lists this ribosomal RNA (253 nucleotides) under uncultured bacterium. RNAcentral describes it as "partial 16S ribosomal RNA". It matches the Rfam family "Bacterial small subunit ribosomal RNA", at positions 524 to 776 of the family's 1533-position model. The record is from RNAcentral.